AUACGUAGGGGGCGAGCGUUAUCCGGAUUCAUUGGGCGUAAAGCGCGCGUAGGCGGCCAGCUAGGUCGGGAGUCAAAUCCGGGGGCUCAACCCCCGCCCGCUCCCGAUACCGGCCGGCUUGAGUCUGGCAGGGGAAGGCGGAAUUCCCGGUGUAGCGGUGGAAUGCGCAGAUAUCGGGAAGAACACCGGUGGCGAAGGCGGCCUUCUGGGCCACGACUGACGCUGAGGCGCGAAAGCUGGGGGAGCGAACAGGAUUAGAUACCCUGGUAGUCCCAGCCGUAAACGAUGGACACUAGGUGGGGGGGGACGAUCCCCCCGUGCCGCAGCCAACGCAUUAAGUGUCCCGCCUGGGGAGUACGGCCGCAAGGCUAAA
RNAcentral lists this ribosomal RNA (373 nucleotides) under uncultured bacterium. RNAcentral's name for it is "partial 16S ribosomal RNA". It matches the Rfam family "Bacterial small subunit ribosomal RNA", at positions 523 to 898 of the family's 1533-position model. The record is from RNAcentral.